This is a non-coding RNA of Xylaria digitata, 96 nucleotides long. The record is from the annotation of a GenBank genome assembly. NCBI's taxonomy places the organism in Eukaryota, Fungi, Ascomycota, Sordariomycetes, Xylariales, Xylariaceae.
GCCCUGGUAGCUCAAUUGGUUAGAGCGUCGGACUUUUACGGCUCAUGCUUGUAAAGCGCCAUCCGAAGGCUGCGGGUUCGACCCCCGCCUGGGGCG